RNAcentral lists this unclassified non-coding RNA (349 nucleotides) under soil metagenome. Its description in RNAcentral is "partial contains 5.8S ribosomal RNA, internal transcribed spacer 2, and large subunit ribosomal RNA". The stretch from base 1 to 120 matches the Rfam family "5.8S ribosomal RNA", at positions 35 to 154 of the family's 154-position model. The record is from RNAcentral.
GAUGAAGAACGUAGCGAAAUGCGAUACGUAAUGUGAAUUGCAGAAUUCAGUGAAUCAUCGAGUCUUUGAACGCACAUUGCGCCCCCUGGUAUUCCGGGGGGCAUGCCUGUCCGAGCGUCAUUGCUGCCCUCAAGCACGGCUUGUGUGUUGGGCCUCCGCCCCCCGGCUCCCGGGGGGCGGGCCCGAAAGGCAGCGGCGGCACCGCGUCCGGUCCUCGAGCGUAUGGGGCUUCGUCACCCGCUCCGUAGGCCCGGCCGGCGCCCGCCGGCGACCCCCCUCAAUCUUUCCAGGUUGACCUCGGAUCAGGUAGGGAUGCCCGCUGAACUUAAGCAUAUCAAUAAGCGGAGGA